Molecule: ribosomal RNA, 253 nt
Filed under: uncultured bacterium
Lineage: Bacteria
Description: partial 16S ribosomal RNA
Rfam family: Bacterial small subunit ribosomal RNA
Source: RNAcentral
UACGAAGGUGGCAAGCGUUACUCGGAAUUACUAGGCGUAAAGGGCAGGUAGGUGGUUUAGAAAGUCUGUUGUUAAAGCUCCUGGCUUAACUGGGAGAGGCCAACAGAAACUUCUGAACUUGAGUAUGGGAGAGGGUACUGGAAUUCCCGGUGUAGCGGUGAAAUGCGCAGAGAUCGGGAGGAACACCAAUGGCGAAAGCAGGUGCCUGGACCAUUACUGACACUCAACUGCGAAAGCUAGGGGAGCAAACAGG